RNAcentral lists this ribosomal RNA (434 nucleotides) under uncultured bacterium. Its description in RNAcentral is "partial 16S ribosomal RNA". It matches the Rfam family "Bacterial small subunit ribosomal RNA", at positions 341 to 792 of the family's 1533-position model. The record is from RNAcentral.
ACGGGAGGCAGCAGUGGGGAAUAUUGCGCAAUGGGGGAAACCCUGACGCAGCAAUACCGCGUGAGUGAAGAAGGUUUUCGGAUCGUAAAACUCUUUUAUUGGGGAAGAAAAUGACGGUACCCAAUGAAGAAGUCCCGGCUAACUACGUGCCAGCAGCCGCGGUAAUACGUAGGGGACAAGCGUUGUCCGGAAUGACUGGGCGUAAAGGGCGCGUAGGCGGGAUGUUAAGUCUGAUGUGAAAGGUUACGGCUCAACCGUAGACAUGCAUUGGAAACUGGCAUUCUUGAGUACUGGAGAGGCAAGUGGAAUUCCUAGUGUAGCGGUGAAAUGCGUAGAUAUUAGGAGGAACACCAGUGGCGAAGGCGGCUUACUGGACGAUAACUGACGUUGAGGCUCGAAAGCGUGGGGAGCAAACAGGAUUAGAUACCCUGGUA